This 603-nucleotide ribosomal RNA is filed under the name uncultured Massilia sp. RNAcentral's name for it is "bacterial SSU rRNA". It matches the Rfam family "Bacterial small subunit ribosomal RNA", at positions 97 to 701 of the family's 1533-position model. The record is from RNAcentral. Lineage: Bacteria; Pseudomonadati; Pseudomonadota; Betaproteobacteria; Burkholderiales; Oxalobacteraceae.
GGCGAACGGGUGAGUAAUAUAUCGGAACGUACCCAGAAGUGGGGGAUAACGUAGCGAAAGUUACGCUAAUACCGCAUACGAUCUACGGAUGAAAGUGGGGGACCUUCGGGCCUCAUGCUUUUGGAGCGGCCGAUAUCUGAUUAGCUAGUUGGCAGGGUAAAGCCUACCAAGGCAACGAUCAGUAGCUGGUCUGAGAGGACGACCAGCCACACUGGAACUGAGACACGGUCCAGACUCCUACGGGAGGCAGCAGUGGGGAAUUUUGGACAAUGGGCGCAAGCUGAUCCAGCAAUGCCGCGUGAGUGAAGAAGGCCUUCGGGUUGUAAAGCUCUUUUGUCAGGGAAGAAACGGCUGCGGCUAAUAUCUGCGGCUAAUGACGGUACCUGAAGAAUAAGCACCGGCUAACUACGUGCCAGCAGCCGCGGUAAUACGUAGGGUGCAAGCGUUAAUCGGAAUUACUGGGCGUAAAGCGUCCGCAGCCGGUUUUGUAAGUCUGUCGUGAAACCCCGGGCUCAACCUGGGAAUUGCGAUGGAGACUGCAAGGCUUGAAUCUGGCAGAGGGGGGUAGAAUUCCACGUGUAGCAGUAAAUCGUAGAGAUGUGG